UCCAACUCGCCCAAUGGCGAGUUGGAAAUGGGUCAUCCAACUCGCCCAACGGUGAGUUGGAUUUGGUCGAUCCAACUCGCAGUUGGGCGAGUUGGAAGUUAUUCGUCCAACUAGCCAUUGGGUGAGUUGGA
This 131-nucleotide microRNA precursor is filed under the name Brassica napus (rape). Its description in RNAcentral is "pre miRNA MIR811". Lineage: Eukaryota; Viridiplantae; Streptophyta; Magnoliopsida; Brassicales; Brassicaceae. The record is from RNAcentral.